Long non-coding RNA from Glycine soja, 794 nucleotides. RefSeq lists it as uncharacterized. Lineage: Eukaryota; Viridiplantae; Streptophyta; Magnoliopsida; Fabales; Fabaceae. The transcript is spliced from 2 exons. The record is from RefSeq and is a predicted model, not a curated record.
GAAUAGACAAAAGUGCUCUUAUUCCUAGGAUGAUGCGUUUAUAUUACGCACGACACCUUUUUCCUUUUCAAAUUUUGUGUCGCCCCAAUCCUUUAUCCUUCUCUUCUCGCCAUAUCCAUUGUGCGACUUUGCCUUGCCGCCACUAUAAUUGAAUGUAGAGGACAACCGCCAUGACAGUGCGUCCUUGUUGUUCAAGACACUGUUUCAGCUUUCUGGUCUAGUUGUGGGUUUGAUCUUUUGUAGGUUCCGUAGACAUAUGUUGUAUGCCUUCCUUGGCUUUGGAGGAUGGUGUGGUGAUUAGAAGGGAACCUUGUUAAUGGGUUUCUAUGGUAAAGUAUCCAGAGGGGAUAUUCUAAAUGUUGUGAUCAUGGCACUACUGUAGGGAUUUCAACUUUGCUAGAAGCUGGGAUAUAGGAAGGUGUAGUGUUUUUCUAACUCCGUCACACCUGUGGAGCUUGUGAACAAGGAAGUUUCAGUGCAACACCAAUAUAGCAAUGUGCUAGUCUUGAUAAGGAGGUUAUUGUAUGUGCACUGUGAUGCAUACCUUUCAAGAAACCAACACUUGUGCGAACAUGCCCGCGAAAUUGGGAGGUGAGAGUCAGGGUCAAAUGGAGCCUUUAGCCAUGAUGAGAUUGUGUUUGCUUGCUAAUGCGUUAUUAGGGGUCCAGUUAAUGGGUGGCUAAUUUAGUUUUUCUGUUUGUUUUGCUUUCUUUUUCUCGUAUGUAAUAAAAAAAAUUAUGAUGGUUGUAACCAAUAUCAUUUUCAUGAUUUGAAAAUUGACAUGGAUAACAUAA